CAGCUUUCCUUUUGGCAGUUUGUUAAAUUUUGUUAUGGUUUACAAAACCGUACAGAAAUCACCGAUCUUGGUAUUCCGUACUGCUAUAAAAACAUUUCUAUUACUCUGGAGUGCUAGCAUCAUUGAAGCUUUCAUUCCAAUAUCUAACAUUUGACUAUUAAUGAGACAGACUUUUUCUAAAAUCUGUACUGAUAUUUUGCAAUCAAAGACAUUGAAGACAAUGUAAAAGCACACUUUAUCUUCAGGAGAAAUAUUGUGAAUGAAGCUAUCUUAAACUCUUAAAGAGCUGUAUGUUUGGGGCUAUGUAUUUUACCUUUUCUCUUUUAUAGAGUUAUUUGAAAAUGUUUUUGUCUUGAAGUAACCUCUCCCUGAUCCUUUUUUGAUCGAAUACCAGUGCAAGGGUAGGACUUAUUUUAAUAGCGUCUGAAGUUUUUAAGAGGUGGAAAUUUGUCUAUACAAUUUAUAUUUAUGUACUACUGCAUUUUACAACAAUAAUUAUAUAUUGUUAAUGAGCGCAUAGGAGAAAAUUCACCCUUUUUCUUGAGGUAAACAGUAUAGGCAUGUGCCCGUGUGUUAAGUAAGUUUUUGUGCUCAAAUCCAUAUACAAUUGUCUGAAACGCUUUAACAAAUAUUAUGACAGUAAAAGCAUCUUGACUACAACUCAAGAAACCUGGAUUGUUUUCCUGCAAUAACCACUGAUUCUCCUUAAGUCACUUCAUUUCCAUAUCUUGAAAACAGGAUAAUAUAUUUGUUGCCUCUUGUGAAGAGCUUUGAGAUCUACAAGUAAUUGUCAUGUAAACAUCGUGUUACUACUACAAUGGACAGUGUUCUCCAAGGACAUGAAGAGAGAAGUACAGAAGGUGCUGGGAGAAUGCACUGAUUUCUACAGCUGCAGCUGACCUCUUAUCUUACCAGUAGUAGUUUGCAGCUCAGAAUAUGGUGCUGCUGCUGGUGCUGCCAGUGAGCUCCUGCCAGUUGGAAGAAAGUAGCGCCCCUGUGUCUGCUCUCUUUAGUGCUGCUUGGACCUGCUGCUUCAGGCAGGUUUCACCCGGCCGGUCCUGUGGGGAAUGCAUCUUGAUCAGAGCUGUGGAAGAAGUGAGUGAAGUGGUGGCUUCUGCAAGGAAAUGUGCCCUUCACCUCGAGCAGGUACAAUGCCAAACUUCAUGCAAGGGGAAAUGUGCUGAGGCUGUGCAAACACACAGUGUCCUGGGCAAGGAUGUGCACUGCAUAAGAUGAAUCUGCCCUUCACUUCUCUGUGUUGGACUUUCUAUUGAACUAAUUCAUCAUUUGAUUUUUGGCAUCUCAGUAAUUACUGCUGGCAAAAACUACUCAUUUUAGUUGUUGCAAUAUACUGCGAGCACAUUUAACUUUGAUGGAAAGUUUGAAUGACUUUGUUUCAACCACUUGACGGUUCUUUGUGGGCAUUUUUACAAUCAACAGAGCAUUUGUAACCAAGCCUUUGGUGACAGCUGUUAGCUCCAGCAACUCAAUUGCCUUUAGCAGGCAAGGGUAUGAUUUGCUGCUGUUUCCUCUAGUAGCUGAACUUAUUUGGGCCAAGCAUGAGCAAAGGGACAUGCACAGUCUUGAUUUCUCUUGGAUCUGAUUUCCACUGAAUUCUGGUGACCCUUAAGCAACUGUUGUGAUGGACUGAAAUGCCCUGAAACAGAAACUUUACCUCCUCAGCCAGACCAAAAUGUUUAUCAGUAACUUUUCUCCCAUUCCUAAAACUGUUC
Molecule: long non-coding RNA, 1733 nt
Organism: Anser brachyrhynchus (Pink-footed goose)
Lineage: Eukaryota; Metazoa; Chordata; Aves; Anseriformes; Anatidae
Source: Ensembl